GUGAGUGAAGAAGGCCUUCGGGUUGUAAAGCUCUUUUGUCAGGGAAGAAACGGUGAGGGCUAAUAUCCCUCACUAAUGACGGUACCUGAAGAAUAAGCACCGGCUAACUACGUGCCAGCAGCCGCGGUAAUACGUAGGGUGCAAGCGUUAAUCGGAAUUACUGGGCGUAAAGCGUGCGCAGGCGGUUUUGUAAGUCUGACGUGAAAUCCCCGGGCUCAACCUGGGAAUUGCGUUGGAGACUGCAAGGCUAGAAUCUGGCAGAGGGGGGUAGAAUUCCACGUGUAGCAGUGAAAUGCGUAGAGAUGUGGAGGAACACCGAUGGCGAAGGCAGCCCCCUGGGUCAAGAUUGACGCUCAUGCACGAAAGCGUGGGGAGCAAACAGGAUUAGAUACCCUGGUAGUCCACGCCCUAAACGAUGUCUACUAGUUGUCGGGUUUUAAUUAACUUGGUAACGCAGCUAA
This 461-nucleotide ribosomal RNA is filed under the name Massilia sp. RNAcentral's name for it is "bacterial SSU rRNA". It matches the Rfam family "Bacterial small subunit ribosomal RNA", at positions 401 to 855 of the family's 1533-position model. The record is from RNAcentral. Lineage: Bacteria; Pseudomonadati; Pseudomonadota; Betaproteobacteria; Burkholderiales; Oxalobacteraceae.